Non-coding RNA from Oryctolagus cuniculus (rabbit), 960 nucleotides. NCBI's taxonomy places the organism in Eukaryota, Metazoa, Chordata, Mammalia, Lagomorpha, Leporidae. The record is from RefSeq and is a predicted model, not a curated record.
GUCCUGCAAACAAACGCUGAGCAAAGGCUCAUGUAAAUGAAGACUGUGUUCCUUCAAGGGAGGCCUAGUUUGCAAACAGAAUCCUGAAGACCAGAAAGACAUGCUGGAGCCAUGAUGGGUGGAGCAACACUUGGAUCUGGGCCAGGCUGAAAACAGGAAGCUGGAACUCUAUCUGGGUCUCCCAUGUGAGUGGCAGAGACGAAAGUGCUUGAACCAUCAUCUUCUGCCUCCCAGGAUUUGCAUGAGAUGGAUGUUAGAUUGGAAGUGAAGUAGCCAGGACUCCAACCAGACAAAAUAUCUCAUUCAUAGAGGAAAUAUUGAAAGCAAGAUGAUGUUUCUCCCAGCCCUUUCCCUUUCUUGAGUUUCCAUCAUUCCUAUAUGCCUGAAAUACUGGAAACCAAAUGUGUUCCUGGGGCUGUGAUGUGCCUUUCAAGACUGCGUAACAAGGGCAAACCUACCUGAUUGUUUCCUGCGGAGAGACAGCAGGAUUUCAGAGGAGGCGUCUGCUCUCAGGAAAAUGUUUCCCUUGAAAAUAUUCCAUGAAUAGCCAAGCAGUCUUCAAGCCCCAGCCAGCUCACACAGCCUGGUGGCCAAAAGCUUGACUUUGAAACCAGAUUGCUGGGUUUGAAGCCUGUUCUGCCACUUACCAUCAGCUUCACCUGGGGAGUGACAUGGAACCUCUCUGAAUCUGUUUUCUAAACCUUGAAAUGGCAAGAAUAGCACCUUAGUAAUCACAGGGUUGUGAAGAUCCCAAUUCCUCCCAACAUGCCUGGAAGGCAGCAGCUGCUGGCCCAAGGACUUUGGCCCCUGCCACCUACGUGGAGACCCAGAUGGAGUUUCUGGCUUCUGGCUUCAGUCUGGCCCAUUCCCAGCUGUAGCGGGCAUUUGAAGAGUGAACCAGCAGAUGGAUGAUCUCUCUUUCUCACUCUCUGUCAUUCUCUGUCACUCUGUCUUUCAAUA